Molecule: ribosomal RNA, 2984 nt
Filed under: Salmonella enterica subsp. enterica serovar Weltevreden
Lineage: Bacteria; Pseudomonadati; Pseudomonadota; Gammaproteobacteria; Enterobacterales; Enterobacteriaceae
Description: bacterial LSU rRNA
Rfam family: Bacterial large subunit ribosomal RNA
Source: RNAcentral
ACUAAGCGUACACGGUGGAUGCCCUGGCAGUCAGAGGCGAUGAAGGGCGUGCUAAUCUGCGAUAAGCGCCGGUAAGGUGAUAUGAACCGUUAUAACCGGCGAUACCCGAAUGGGGAAACCCAGUGUGAUUCGUCACACUAUCAUUAACUGAAUCCAUAGGUUAAUGAGGCGAACCGGGGGAACUGAAACAUCUAAGUACCCCGAGGAAAAGAAAUCAACCGAGAUUCCCCCAGUAGCGGCGAGCGAACGGGGAGGAGCCCAGAGCCUGAAUCAGCAUGUGUGUUAGUGGAAGCGUCUGGAAAGGCGCGCGAUACAGGGUGACAGCCCCGUACACAAAAGCGCAUGUGCUGUGAGCUCGAUGAGUAGGGCGGGACACGUGGUAUCCUGUCUGAAUAUGGGGGGACCAUCCUCCAAGGCUAAAUACUCCUGACUGACCGAUAGUGAACCAGUACCGUGAGGGAAAGGCGAAAAGAACCCCGGCGAGGGGAGUGAAAAAGAACCUGAAACCGUGUACGUACAAGCAGUGGGAGCCCCACCACCAAAGCGUUUCGCUUUGUGUGGUGCACAAAGAAGCGUAACGACAGCACUGAAUGACGGUUAACGGAGCGCAAGCGACGUUCAACAUACAAAGUCAAGCAGUGGAGCGCUUUGGGGUGGGGUGACUGCGUACCUUUUGUAUAAUGGGUCAGCGACUUAUAUUCUGUAGCAAGGUUAACCGAAUAGGGGAGCCGGAGGGAAACCGAGUCUUAACCGGGCGUUAAGUUGCAGGGUAUAGACCCGAAACCCGGUGAUCUAGCCAUGGGCAGGUUGAAGGUUGGGUAACACUAACUGGAGGACCGAACCGACUAAUGUUGAAAAAUUAGCGGAUGACCUGUGGCUGGGGGUGAAAGGCCAAUCAAACCGGGAGAUAGCUGGUUCUCCCCGAAAGCUAUUUAGGUAGCGCCUCGUGAAUUCAUCUCCGGGGGUAGAGCACUGUUUCGGCUAGGGGGCCAUCCCGGCUUACCAACCCGAUGCAAACUGCGAAUACCGGAGAAUGUUAUCACGGGAGACACACGGCGGGUGCUAACGUCCGUCGUGAAGAGGGAAACAACCCAGACCGCCAGCUAAGGUCCCAAAGUCAUGGUUAAGUGGGAAACGAUGUGGGAAGGCCCAGACAGCCAGGAUGUUGGCUUAGAAGCAGCCAUCAUUUAAAGAAAGCGUAAUAGCUCACUGGUCGAGUCGGCCUGCGCGGAAGAUGUAACGGGGCUAAACCAUGCACCGAAGCUGCGGCAGCGACGCUUAUGCGUUGUUGGGUAGGGGAGCGUUCUGUAAGCCUGUGAAGGUGGCCUGUGAGGGUUGCUGGAGGUAUCAGAAGUGCGAAUGCUGACAUAAGUAACGAUAAAGCGGGUGAAAAGCCCGCUCGCCGGAAGACCAAGGGUUCCUGUCCAACGUUAAUCGGGGCAGGGUGAGUCGACCCCUAAGGCGAGGCCGAAAGGCGUAGUCGAUGGGAAACGGGUUAAUAUUCCCGUACUUGGUGUUACUGCGAAGGGGGGACGGAGAAGGCUAUGUUGGCCGGGCGACGGUUGUCCCGGUUUAAGCGUGUAGGUGUGUGUUCCAGGUAAAUCCGGUUCACUUUAACACUGAGGCGUGACGACGAGGCACUACGGUGCUGAAGCAACAAAUGCCCUGCUUCCAGGAAAAGCCUCUAAGCAUCAGGUAACAUCAAAUCGUACCCCAAACCGACACAGGUGGUCAGGUAGAGAAUACCAAGGCGCUUGAGAGAACUCGGGUGAAGGAACUAGGCAAAAUGGUGCCGUAACUUCGGGAGAAGGCACGCUGANNNNNNNNNNNUCAGUCGAAGAUACCAGCUGGCUGCAACUGUUUAUUAAAAACACAGCACUGUGCAAACACGAAAGUGGACGUAUACGGUGUGACGCCUGCCCGGUGCCGGAAGGUUAAUUGAUGGGGUCAGCGCAAGCGAAGCUCCUGAUCGAAGCCCCGGUAAACGGCGGCCGUAACUAUAACGGUCCUAAGGUAGCGAAAUUCCUUGUCGGGUAAGUUCCGACCUGCACGAAUGGCGUAAUGAUGGCCAGGCUGUCUCCACCCGAGACUCAGUGAAAUUGAACUCGCUGUGAAGAUGCAGUGUACCCGCGGCAAGACGGAAAGACCCCGUGAACCUUUACUAUAGCUUGACACUGAACAUUGAGCCUUGAUGUGUAGGAUAGGUGGGAGGCUUUGAAGCGUGGACGCCAGUCUGCGUGGAGCCGACCUUGAAAUACCACCCUUUAAUGUUUGAUGUUCUAACGUGGACCCGUUACCCGGGUUGCGGACAGUGUCUGGUGGGUAGUUUGACUGGGGCGGUCUCCUCCUAAAGAGUAACGGAGGAGCACGAAGGUUGGCUAAUCCUGGUCGGACAUCAGGAGGUUAGUGCAAUGGCAUAAGCCAGCUUGACUGCGAGCGUGACGGCGCGAGCAGGUGCGAAAGCAGGUCAUAGUGAUCCGGUGGUUCUGAAUGGAAGGGCCAUCGCUCAACGGAUAAAAGGUACUCCGGGGAUAACAGGCUGAUACCGCCCAAGAGUUCAUAUCGACGGCGGUGUUUGGCACCUCGAUGUCGGCUCAUCACAUCCUGGGGCUGAAGUAGGUCCCAAGGGUAUGGCUGUUCGCCAUUUAAAGUGGUACGCGAGCUGGGUUUAGAACGUCGUGAGACAGUUCGGUCCCUAUCUGCCGUGGGCGCUGGAGAACUGAGGGGGGCUGCUCCUAGUACGAGAGGACCGGAGUGGACGCAUCACUGGUGUUCGGGUUGUCAUGCCAAUGGCACUGCCCGGUAGCUAAAUGCGGAAGAGAUAAGUGCUGAAAGCAUCUAAGCACGAAACUUGCCCCGAGAUGAGUUCUCCCUGAGACUUNGUCUCCUGAAGGAACGUUGAAGACGACGACGUUGAUAGGCCGGGUGUGUAAGCGCAGCGAUGCGUUGAGCUAACCGGUACUAAUGAACCGUGAGGCUUAACC